GUUAAAAGCUAGGGCUAGGACUUGGAGGAUGUGUAGGCAAACGGAAGGAGAGCCGGGGGAAGAAAAACCGAAAUGGAUUCAUUCUCUGUCCUGGAUGGAGGAGGAGAGGAGAAGAGAAGGGGACGUGCGAGCUUCCUUCAACUGCCUCUGUCCGGUGAAAAGUGCUCAGAC
Gavia stellata (red-throated loon) is the source of this 171-nucleotide long non-coding RNA. It matches the Rfam family "SOX2 overlapping transcript exon 3", at positions 1 to 178 of the family's 276-position model. From Rfam's summary of the family: SOX2 overlapping transcript (SOX2OT) is a long non-coding RNA, containing at least 5 exons. The SOX2 gene, an important regulator of neurogenesis, lies within one of the introns of SOX2OT. The record is from Rfam. NCBI's taxonomy places the organism in Eukaryota, Metazoa, Chordata, Aves, Gaviiformes, Gaviidae.